UGAUUGACGGGGAGCACUACAACGGGUGGAGCCUGCGGUUUAAUUGGACUCAACGCCGGAAAACUCACCGGGGGCGACAGCAAUAUGUAGGUCAAGCUAAAGACUUUACCAGAAUCGCUGAGAGGAGGUGCAUGGCCGUCGUCAGUUCGUACUGUGAAGCAUCCUGUUAAGUCAGGCAACGAGCGAGACCCGUGCCCACUGUUGCCAGCAUGUCCUUCGGGAUGAUGGGUACUCUGUGGGACCGCCGAUGCUAAAUCGGAGGAAGGUGCGGGCUACGGUAGGUCAGUAUGCCCCGAAUCUCCCGGGCUACACGCGGGCUACAAUGACUGGGACAAUGGGCUCCUACCCCGAAAGGGGAUGGUAAUCUCAUAAACCCAGCCUUAGUUCGGAUCGAGGGCUGUAACCCGCCCUCGUGAAGCUGGAAUCCGUAGUAAUCGCGUUUCAACAUAGCGCGGUGAAUACGUCCCUGCUCCUU
RNAcentral lists this ribosomal RNA (475 nucleotides) under uncultured Methanomethylovorans sp. RNAcentral describes it as "bacterial SSU rRNA". It matches the Rfam family "Archaeal small subunit ribosomal RNA", at positions 864 to 1338 of the family's 1478-position model. The record is from RNAcentral. Lineage: Archaea; Methanobacteriati; Methanobacteriota; Methanomicrobia; Methanosarcinales; Methanosarcinaceae.